UGUCUGGAGCUUAGGCCUGGCAAGCCCACAACUUUCCCUGUGAGAUUCAAGCGUGCUAAUGGAUACCCAGUGGACCUCUACUACCUGAUGGACCUCUCCUACUCAAUGAAUGAUGAUCUGAAAAAAGUAAAAGACCUGGGGACAGAUAUACUAAAGGCUCUUAAAGAGAUCACCCCUUAUGCAUGAAUAGGGUUUGGCUCUUUCGUGGACAAAACGGUUUUGCCAUACACAAACACCCACCCGGACAAGCUAAAGAAGCCAUGUCCAGAUGGUGAACAGUUUUACCAGGCAG
This is a long non-coding RNA of Polyodon spathula (Mississippi paddlefish), 292 nucleotides long. RefSeq lists it as uncharacterized. The record is from RefSeq and is a predicted model, not a curated record. Lineage: Eukaryota; Metazoa; Chordata; Actinopteri; Acipenseriformes; Polyodontidae. The transcript is spliced from 3 exons.